GGGUAUAGCUCAGUUGGUAGAGCGGCGGUCUCCAAAACCGCAGGUCGAGGGUUCAAAUCCUUCUGCCC
This 68-nucleotide transfer RNA is filed under the name marine eukaryotic metagenome. It matches the Rfam family "tRNA". From Rfam's summary of the family: Transfer RNA (tRNA) molecules are approximately 80 nucleotides in length. The record is from RNAcentral.